This is a long non-coding RNA of Crotalus tigris (Tiger rattlesnake), 304 nucleotides long. RefSeq lists it as uncharacterized. The transcript has 3 exons. NCBI's taxonomy places the organism in Eukaryota, Metazoa, Chordata, Lepidosauria, Squamata, Viperidae. The record is from RefSeq and is a predicted model, not a curated record.
UUGAUUUGUCGCCCCCUAGUGGCGGCACGUAGAAAUAUUUGUUGGUCUGUCGGAUCUAAUGAUACGGUUUUAAGAAAACUAGAUUGGCAGAACUGUUGCUUUUAAAGAGUAAGGGUACCAAAACAGGGAAUUCCACAAUAUGGGCACAGCAACACAUGGCUGGUGACUAUUUCGGCGAUACCGGGUCCAGUAACAAAAAGAUAAACUUCCCCAAACUCUCAAUAUACUGCUUUAAUGAAGAGCUAGCAUCUCCUUGAAGACCGUAACUCAGGGAGACCACAUUACUGCAGUCAGAAUUUCAUAG